Molecule: ribosomal RNA, 483 nt
Filed under: uncultured bacterium
Lineage: Bacteria
Description: partial 16S ribosomal RNA
Rfam family: Bacterial small subunit ribosomal RNA
Source: RNAcentral
UUGCACGCUGGCGGCAGGCCUAACCCCUGCAAGUCGCGCGGAUGAAGGGAGCUUGCUCCUGGAUUCAGCGGCGGACGGGUGAGUAAUGCCUAGGAAUCUGCCUGGUAGUGGGGGAUAACGUCCGGAAACGGGCGCUAAUACCGCAUACGUCCUGAGGGAGAAAGUGGGGGAUCUUCGGACCUCACGCUAUCAGAUGAGCCUAGGUCGGAUUAGCUAGUUGGUGGGGUAAAGGCCUACCAAGGCGACGAUCCGUAACUGGUCUGAGAGGAUGAUCAGUCACACUGGAACUGAGACACGGUCCAGACUCCUACGGGAGGCAGCAGUGGGGAAUAUUAGACAAUGGGCGAAAGCCUGAUCCAGCCAUGCCGCGUGUGUGAAGAAGGUCUUCGGAUUGUAAAGCACUUUAAGUUGGGAGGAAGGGCAGUAAGUUAAUACCUUGCUGUUUUGACGUUACCAACAGAAUAAGCACCGGCUAACUUCGUG